GAAGAAGAGUACAUUGAAUGGUUUAGAAAGGCUGGGUUUAUACGUAUCGAAUUGAAAAGAAUUGGCCCAAAAUGGUACCGUGGUGUUCGUCGGCAUGGGUUGAUUAUGGGUUGCUCUGUAACUGGAGUUAAGCCAUUUUCUGGAGAUUCUUCCCUGAAGCUUGGUCCAAAGGCUGAGGAUGUGAGAAAGCCAGUAAAUCCUUUUAUUUUCCUUCUGCGCUUCAUUCUCGGGGCCAUAGCAGCCACGUACUUUGUGCUGGUUCCCAUCUACAUGUGGAUCAAAGAUCAAAUUGUUCCAAAGGGCAUGCCCAUUUGAAAUGAGCAGAAGCAUGGGAAUCAAUUCAUUGAUUACCAUUCUGCAGUUGUUUCAAAAUGAUUAAUUGUGGUUAUAGCACUGUGUUAUGUGUCAUAGAAUAGGAUUAAGUCAUUGGCCGUUGAACAGGGUAAUCUCCGUCAAUGUUGGAUGGGUUGCCUUUGUUGGUGUUUCGGCCUUUCCUUGAAUGACCUAUGGUGGAAGGAAAUGAGAGCUCUUUUGAGGGAGCUUUGAGAACCUCUUGCAAUUUGUAGUGAAAUUCUGCUUAUUUUAUUCAUUUAACGUGUUCUCCUGGUAUAGAGAUUGCAUGGUCACAUAAAAGGAAUAAUCUGUAAUUAUAGCCAACGUUCAAGGCUUAGAUCAAGAGAUUAAAGUCAUAAUGAUAUCCUAAUAAUUAUAGCCAGCAGACUUAAAUCAAGAGAUUACAAUAAGAAUAGUAUCAUAAUUUGAUAAUAUCCAUAAAAUCUUGAUAUGAUUAGUUGUUACCGUCAUUUUGGAUGUUAUUGCCUUCUUUAUUCUACUGUCCAUGUCUUGCAUAAGUCUUGCCAAUGAAUGCAUCUCUGACACACUGAUUAGCCUGUGUUUCUAAUUUAUCUUUUGAAAUUAUCACUGCUAAAGUAAUCGCAAUGAGGAAUAUUAAACAUGGAGAUGGAUGACAUGCUUCUUUUUUCAUUCUAUAUUCCAAUUCUACAGCCUCUGUACGGUUAUUGGAAUGAUAAUACAGAGCAUGUAACAAAGUUGAUACUAACUGCAGCACUCUGUUCUAAAUUCUGUUGUUGCAUUUGUAUAAUUUAACCAUGCUAGUCAUGAGAGUUCUUCAUGACAAGGGGGAUUUCUGCACCCCGACAGAAGGAUAUUUGCUACGAAGAAACAAGGAAUGGCUUGGAUAGAAAUCACCAUUUCAUUGUCUUUAAGAUCCAGAAAUGACUUGCUGUAUACAAGCAAGUGAAAGGUACAGAGCAGAAAGAGAAGAUGACCUGAGAGGAAUUAGGGAAAAG
RNAcentral lists this unclassified non-coding RNA (1310 nucleotides) under Hevea brasiliensis (rubber tree). Lineage: Eukaryota; Viridiplantae; Streptophyta; Magnoliopsida; Malpighiales; Euphorbiaceae. The record is from RNAcentral.